GGGGCUGCUGGUGGCGGCAUUCGAUUGCCAUUCGCACAAGUUGCAUGUUCGCGACUCGAUUUUUGGGCAAAAGCAACCUUUACAACACCAGUGAAGAAUUCUAAUUAAGUGUGGGCGCGCUAAUGCGUUAAACGCUUCUGCAAUUUGUUUUUCCAAGCCGCAGAGAAGUGGAAAGAAGAAAAAGGAAGAAAAAUAACAUUUAUAAUUACACUUAAUCAGGUUGAUUACUGUCAACGCGGCAAACAGGGAGGGGGGAUAAAACCAAAGACCCACCGCAGCGUUCGAUGACCACACAAAUGAGUGCCAGAUCGAACUGAGGAGGAAAAAAGGAUAAGACACGCUCCUCCAAUUACCUGUCACUGACCCACUUGUUCAGUCCAGUCAGAGGCAACAGAGAGAGAGAGAGAGAGAGAGAGGUAACCUCUAGAAAAGGACAAGAAGCUUCAAUAUCAACGACAUCGACAAGCCAAAGAGGAACCUUCACCAUGGGCAAGAAGAACUCAAAAUUGAAGCAGGACACCAUCGAUCGGCUGACAACGGACACAUACUUCACUGAAAAGGAAAUUCGUCAAUGGCACAAGGGCUUUCUCAAAGACUGUCCGAAUGGCUUGCUGACCGAACAAGGCUUCAUCAAAAUCUAUAAGCAAUUCUUCCCCGACGGUGACCCCAGCAAAUUUGCCUCUCUGGUCUUUCGUGUCUUCGAUGAGAAUAAUGAUGGCGCCAUUGAGUUUGAGGAGUUUAUACGGGCUUUGUCCAUAACAUCAAGAGGGAAUCUGGAUGAGAAGCUGCACUGGGCCUUCCGUCUUUAUGAUGUGGACAACGAUGGCUAUAUAACCCGCGAGGAGAUGUACAACAUAGUGGAUGCCAUCUACCAAAUGGUAGGCCAACAGCCGCAAACAGAGGAUGAGAAUACGCCCCAGAAGCGGGUGGAUAAGAUCUUUGAUCAGAUGGACAAGAAUCAUGAUGAUCGGCUGACGUUGGAGGAGUUCCGUGAGGGCAGUAAAGCUGAUCCACGUAUAGUGCAGGCGUUAAGUUUAGGUGGUGAUUAACCGCGGGACCUGUAGUCGAUGCGGUGAUGAAGGAGAAGGAGAAGAAAAAGGAAAAGGAGUAGGAGAAGAAGUAGGAGUAGAAAGAGUUUUCCUUGUUCUUCUGAGAUCACCAUGCUAAAAUAAUUUCUAUAUUUUAUAUGUGGUUCAGCUUUAGAAUGUAAAAAAGUUGAUAUUGUAAAAGAAAAGAGAAAGGGAAAUACUUUCUUUAUUAUAACUAUCCAUGUCCUAUGGCUAUCUUAUCCUUUAUUAAGCAUUAAUCUUUGAAAAUACUUUUUUUUUGGUUAGAUCUAUCCAUAGCGUUUAUCCCAUAACUUUAUCCCAUCACUCUUUAUUAAGCAUUAAGCCUUAAAAGUACUUUCUUUUCUAUAACUAUCCAUAGCCUAUAUCCUAUAACUAUCCUAUCCUCAUUACCCUUUAUUAAGCAUUAAGCCUUGAAUAUACUUUCUUUUCUAUAUUUAUCCAUAAGCUAUAUCUAACCUAUCCCCAUCACCCUUCAUUAGGCAUUAAUCCUUGAAAAUACUUUCUUUCGUAUAUCUAUCCAUAACCUUUAUCCUAUAACUAUCCCAUCCCCAUCACCCUUCAUUAACCAUUAAUCCUUGAUAACCCUUUAAUGUUGUCUUGCUUUCUGCUUUUAGAUAAAUCUAGAUUUGAGAAAUUUAAGAAAUUGAAAUUGAAAUUGAAAUUGAAAUUGAAAUUGAGAUUGAGAUUGAAAUUGAAGUUGAAAUUGAAAGUGAAAUGGAAAUUGAAAUUGAAAUUGAAAUUGAAAUUGAAAUUGAAAUGGAAAUGGAAAUUGAAAUUGAAAUUGCAAAAUAUCUUUACAAAAGCUAAUCACAAAGACUUUUUGCUUUGUCGCCGCCUGAGAGGUUUCAGAUUGGAUUCAGCUUUUUAGAUAAUGCUUGUCUAGACCACUCUGGCACAAACCCCCCUCCCCCUACACAACCACCCUCCAACCACCCACAAAAUACUCUAAUAUAUCCCUUUAACCAAAUCCGAUUCCAAGGUUUCCUGUUCCUUGUUCUUUUCUUCUGUCCCAGCACUAUAGUUCGUAUUUAAAAGGGAAUAUAUAUAAUAUAUAUACCUAGAUAAAGGCCAAAUAAAUUGAUAUAGGGAGAAUAUAUAUAUACACAGAUAUUGAUAAUUAUAUAUAUAUAUCUAUUAUUAUAUAGAAGUCCCGAUUUGUAUUUUACUUGUGCAAAUUUUGCAAAUUGUUUUUGCAUAGAUUUAUUGUUGGAAAGUUUCCACGGCAACAACAACGACGACACUCACUCACAUACACUUUACACUGCACAAAAAACUUGCAUGCCUUUUCUGUCAAAACCGAAAAAAACUUAAAACUCUAAACUCAAGCUAAGCUGAGUGGAUAUCGGAUAUAUAUAUAUAUCUAUAAUAUAUAGAUGGAAACUAUGAAUAUACCUAUACAUAUAUGCAACAGAUACAAAUCAACAGGUCGAUGGAGGAAAAAACCAAAACUCUGCAGCAACAAUCAAUUUUUGCGCUUCUUACACUGAAACUUGAAAUUAUAUAAAAAAUAUAAUAAAAAAUACAUACAUAUAUAUAUAUUAAACAUAUGUAUAUAUAUAUCUAUAUAUAUACUGUACAUAAAACUGGCAAAAAGUUUGGAAAAAUAUCUUAAAGGAAAACCAAGAAAAACCAAGAAAAAACCAACCAUUUUUAGGCUCUAAGAAAGAUCACCAUAAUCAAGGCCAGCUAAACUGAAGCUUAAAGAUAAACUAAAGGAAAACUCAUUGCACUAUUUUCUUUUUUUUUUUUGCUGGGUUAUCUUUCCAGUUAAAUGAUAAACCCUCCUAACUGAAAGAAAAGAAAAACCUUAAUUUGUGUGCAUUAUACUGAAGAUAAGCAAUACUUAGUUUAGCAUUCGAGAAUGCAUUAAGCAAUGUUUAUUAAAAAAUCUAAAAAAGGAAACUAAGAGAAAAACCCCAAAGUGGAAAAUCAUUCUUAACAAAAACACACAUUCUACAAACACACACAUACAUACAUACACACUGAGAAGAAAAAACAACACACACAUAACUAACAAGUUUUUGGAAUUAUUGCGAAAAGAUAAAGAAAAAACUGAAAAGCAAAA
This is an RNA transcript of Drosophila eugracilis, 3135 nucleotides long. It is a transcript of the gene named frequenin-1, with no coding region annotated. The record is from RefSeq and is a predicted model, not a curated record. The transcript is spliced from 10 exons. NCBI's taxonomy places the organism in Eukaryota, Metazoa, Arthropoda, Insecta, Diptera, Drosophilidae.